GAUGAACGCUGGCUACAGGCUUAACACAUGCAAGUCGAGGGGAAACGACAGGGAAGCUUGCUUCCCCGGGCGUCGACCGGCGCACGGGUGAGUAACGCGUAUCCAACCUGCCUCUGACUGAGGGAUAACCCGUCGAAAGUCGGCCUAAUGCCUCAUGGCAUCGUCUGCGGGCAUCCAACGACGAUUAAAGAUUUCAUCGGUCAGGGAUGGGGAUGCGUCUGAUUAGCUUGUUGGCGGGGUAACGGCCCACCAAGGCUACGAUCAGUAGGGGUUCUGAGAGGAAGGUCCCCCACAUUGGAACUGAGACACGGUCCAAACUCCUACGGGAGGCAGCAGUGAGGAAUAUUGGUCAAUGGGCGAGAGCCUGAACCAGCCAAGUAGCGUGCAGGAUGACGGCCCUAUGGGUUGUAAACUGCUUUUAUGCGGGGAUAAAGUGAGGGACGUGUCCUUCAUUGCAGGUACCGCAUGAAUAAGGACCGGCUAAUUCCGUGCCAGCAGCCGCGGUAAUACGGAAGGUCCGGGCGUUAUCCGGAUUUAUUGGGUUUAAAGGGAGCGUAGGCCGUGGAUUAAGCGUGUUGUGAAAUGCAGGUGCUCAACGUCUGCACUGCAGCGCGAACUGGUUCACUUGAGUGUGCGCAACGCAGGCGGAAUUCGUCGUGUAGCGGUGAAAUGCUUAGAUAUGACGAAGAACUCCGAUUGCGAAGGCAGCUUGCGGGAGCACAACUGACGCUGAAGCUCGAAGGUGCGGGUAUCGAACAGG
RNAcentral lists this ribosomal RNA (760 nucleotides) under uncultured Prevotella sp. RNAcentral describes it as "bacterial SSU rRNA". It matches the Rfam family "Bacterial small subunit ribosomal RNA", at positions 28 to 776 of the family's 1533-position model. The record is from RNAcentral. Lineage: Bacteria; Pseudomonadati; Bacteroidota; Bacteroidia; Bacteroidales; Prevotellaceae.